Molecule: ribosomal RNA, 469 nt
Filed under: uncultured bacterium
Lineage: Bacteria
Description: partial 16S ribosomal RNA
Rfam family: Bacterial small subunit ribosomal RNA
Source: RNAcentral
GGACGAACGCUGGCGGCGUGCUUAACACAUGCAAGUCGAACGGAAAGGCCCUGCUUUUGUGGGGUGCUCGAGUGGCGAACGGGUGAGUAACACGUGAGUAACCUGCCCUUGACUUUGGGAUAACUUCAGGAAACUGGGGCUAAUACCGGAUAGGAGCUCCUGCUGCAUGGUGGGGGUUGGAAAGUUUCGGCGGUUGGGGAUGGACUCGCGGCUUAUCAGCUUGUUGGUGGGGUAGUGGCUUACCAAGGCUUUGACGGGUAGCCGGCCUGAGAGGGUGACCGGCCACAUUGGGACUGAGAUACGGACCAGACUCCUACGGGAGGCAGCAGUGGGGAAUAUUGCACAAUGGGCGGAAGCCUGAUGCAGCAACGCCGCGUGCGGGAUGACGGCCUUCGGGUUGUAAACCGCUUUCGCCUGUGACGAAGCGUGAGUGACGGUAAUGGGUAAAGAAGCACCGGCUAACUACGUG